AACCUUAUGGACCUGCGGGCGUAUACCUGCGGAAGGAUCAUUACAAGUGACCCCGGUCUAACCACCGGGAUGUUCAUAACCCUUUGUUGUCCGACUCUGAUGCCUCCGGGGCGACCCUGCCUUCGGGCGGGGGCUCCGGGUGGACACUUCAAACUCUUGCGUAACUUUGCAGUCUGAGUAAACUUAAUUAAUAAAUUAAAACUUUCAGCAAUGGAUCU
Molecule: unclassified non-coding RNA, 218 nt
Filed under: soil metagenome
Description: partial contains 5.8S ribosomal RNA, internal transcribed spacer 2, and large subunit ribosomal RNA
Source: RNAcentral